This 337-nucleotide unclassified non-coding RNA is filed under the name soil metagenome. Its description in RNAcentral is "partial contains 5.8S ribosomal RNA, internal transcribed spacer 2, and large subunit ribosomal RNA". The stretch from base 1 to 120 matches the Rfam family "5.8S ribosomal RNA", at positions 35 to 154 of the family's 154-position model. The record is from RNAcentral.
GAUGAAGAACGCAGCGAAAUGCGAUAAGUAAUGUGAAUUGCAGAAUUCAGUGAAUCAUCGAAUCUUUGAACGCACAUUGCGCCCGCUAGUAUUCUGGCGGGCAUGCCUGUUCGAGCGUCAUUUCAACCAUCAAGCCCCCGGGCUUGUGUUGGGGACCUGCGGCUGCCGCAGGCCCUGAAAAGCAGUGGCGGGCUCGCUGUCACACCGAGCGUAGUAGAUUUUAUCUCGCUCUGGGCGUGCUGCGGGUUCCGGCCGUUAAACCACCCUUUUAACCCAAGGUUGACCUCGGAUCAGGUAGGAAGACCCGCUGAACUUAAGCAUAUCAAUAAGCGGAGGA